GGGGUUGUAGCUCAGUGGUAGAACACUUGCCUUGCAUGCAUAAGGCCCUGGGUUCAAUCCUCAGCACCA
This 69-nucleotide transfer RNA is filed under the name Urocitellus parryii (Arctic ground squirrel). Its description in RNAcentral is "Spermophilus parryii (Arctic ground squirrel) tRNA". It matches the Rfam family "tRNA". Rfam says of the family: Transfer RNA (tRNA) molecules are approximately 80 nucleotides in length. The record is from Rfam by way of RNAcentral. RNAcentral also lists the same sequence under 1 other name. Lineage: Eukaryota; Metazoa; Chordata; Mammalia; Rodentia; Sciuridae.